This 753-nucleotide small RNA is filed under the name Plasmodium praefalciparum (nom. ined.). RNAcentral's name for it is "Plasmodium sp. gorilla clade G1 ncRNA". The record is from RNAcentral. Lineage: Eukaryota; Apicomplexa; Aconoidasida; Haemosporida; Plasmodiidae.
AAAAAAAAAAAAAAAAAAUUAGUUUUAAUAUGAAUUUAAAAAAGAAAUUAAAGUUAGAAAAAAAAAUUCUAAUAUUAAAAUAAAUGUAUUUAUACAUUUUUUUUUUAUUAUGAAUUAUUUAUUUUAAAAAUAAGUUUGAAUAAGUUUUUUAUUUAUAUAUAUAUAUUAAGUAUGUAUAUAUAUCUAUUAAACUUUUUGAACUUAGUUUAUUUUAACAUUUUUAUUUUUAUAUUAAAACAAUUAUAUUUAAGUUAAAUAAUUUUAAAUAAACUUUUUUUUUUUUUCUUUUUUGAUAAUAUAUAUUUUUAAAUAUUAAUAAAAUAUUAUGAAAAAGAAAUAAGUUAAAUCAAUAAAUAUCAAGAAAAAUAUGUAAUAAUAAAAUAAGUUCGCUAAUAUUGGAAAAUUCAGAAGGAAAAAGAAUGUUUUCUUUUUUCUAAGUUCAAAAAUAUAAUAUAGUUAUAUAUAAACAGUAAAAUAAAUUAAGCAUUAUUUUUUGGUACAUUUAAAAUUAUCUAUUUUUUUUUAAUAGACCAUUUUGUUAAAAUUUUUGCUUCAUAUGAGGUGAAAGUUUUAUAUUAAGAAGAAAAAAAAUACAUUAAUAAAUAAAAAAUUAAGGUAUUUUUUUUAAUGUAAAUCUGUUAAUUUAUAUACUAUAUAUUUAUAACUUGAUUAUAAAAUAAAGCAUCAUAAUAAUUAUAAUAUUUUUUAUAUAAAUAAAUUAUAUUUAUAAUUUAUUAGGUGUUCUAUGUCUUU